GACGAACGCUGGCGGCGUGCUUAACACAUGCAAGUCGAACGGAAAGGCCCCUUCGGUGGUACUCGAGUGUCGAACGGGUGAGUAACACGUGAGUAACCUGCCCUUGACUUCGGGAUAACUUCAGGUAACUGGGGCUAAUACCGGAUAGGAAUCCUUUCUUCAUGGUGGGGGUUGGAAAGCUUCGGCGGUUUUGGGUGGACUCGCUGCUUAUCCGCUUGUUGGUGGGGUAGUGGGUUACCAAGGCUUUGACGGGUAGCCGGCCUGGGAGGGCGACCCGCCACAUUGGGACUGAGGUAAGGCACAGGCUGCUAAGGGAGGGAGAAGGGGGGAAGAUUGACCAAUGGGCGGCAGCCUGAUGCAGCAACGCCGCGGGCGGGAUGACGGCCUUCGGGUUGUAAAACGCUUUCAGCAGGGGCGAAGCUUGUGGUGACGGUACCUGCAGAAGAAGCACCGGCUAACUACGUG
This 465-nucleotide ribosomal RNA is filed under the name uncultured bacterium. RNAcentral describes it as "partial 16S ribosomal RNA". It matches the Rfam family "Bacterial small subunit ribosomal RNA", at positions 28 to 507 of the family's 1533-position model. The record is from RNAcentral.